This 495-nucleotide ribosomal RNA is filed under the name uncultured bacterium. RNAcentral describes it as "partial 16S ribosomal RNA". It matches the Rfam family "Bacterial small subunit ribosomal RNA", at positions 29 to 507 of the family's 1533-position model. The record is from RNAcentral.
AUGAACGCUGGCGGCGUGCCUAAUACAUGCAAGUCGAGCGAACAGACGAGGAGCUUGCUCCUCUGACGUUAGCGGCGGACGGGUGAGUAACACGUGGAUAACCUACCUAUAAGACUGGGAUAACUUCGGGAAACCGGAGCUAAUACCGGAUAAUAUAUUGAACCGCAUGUUCAAUAGUGAAAGACGGUUUUGCUGUCACUUAUAGAUGGAUCCGCGCCGCAUUAGCUAGUUGGUAAGGUAACGGCUUACCAAGGCAACGAUGCGUAGCCGACCUGAGAGGGUGAUCGGCCACACUGGAACUGAGACACGGUCCAGACUCCUACGGGAGGCAGCAGUAGGGAAUCUUCCGCAAUGGGCGAAAGCCUGACGGAGCAACGCCGCGUGAGUGAUGAAGGUCUUCGGAUCGUAAAACUCUGUUAUUAGGGAAGAACAAAUGUGUAAGUAACUAUGCACGUCUUGACGGUACCUAAUCAGAAAGCCACGGCUAACUACGUG